AUUUUAUUUUAAUAAGGUCUGGACAUAUUUAUACUCAGUAAUAUUGUAUAGACAUAGAAAAUGUUAACCUUAAAUAAUGAGAUUCAGAAAAUAUAAUUAGUUAUAGAGUAUAUUCUAGCUCAAAGCUUGAGAAUAGCCACCUAGUAUUGCAGUGAGUUGUGAUUGUGCCCUUGUGCUCCAGAUUAGGUGACAGAGUGAGAUAUAUCUGAUAAAGGACUUCCAUCCAGACUACAUAAAAACUCUUAGAAUUCAAAAAUUUUAAAAAAAUUAAAAAUGGACAAAGGAUCUGAAUAGUCCUAACCACUAGGAUGGCUAGAAUCCUACGUCUGAUACUAUCACAUGUUGGUGAGAAACACCAACACUGGAUAAAUCAGUACCUUCAUACACUACUGGUAAGAAUGUAUGAUCAUGCAGCUGCUUUGGAAAACAGUCUAGCAGUUUCUCAAAUAAUUAAAUAUGGUGUUAUCAAAUAACUCAGCAAUUCCACUGCUAGAUUUCACCCCAAAUAAAUAAAAACUUAUGUCUACAUAGCAACUUGUAUAAGGAUAUUUACAGAAACACUAUUUGUAACAGCCAAAAGGUGGAAACAAACUAAAUGUGCAUCAACUGAUGAACAGAUAAACAAAAGGUUGUAUAGCAAUACAAUGAAAUACUACUCAGCCAUAAAAAGGAAUAUAGUACUGAUAUGUUCUACAACACAGAUGAACCGUAAAAAUAGCAUGCUAAGUGCCAGAAGCCAGUCACAACAUACCACCUAUUAUACAAUUGUAUUUAUAUGAAAGUCCAAAACAAGGAAAUCUGUAGAGACAAAGUAGAUUGGUAG
RNAcentral lists this long non-coding RNA (823 nucleotides) under Homo sapiens (human). RNAcentral describes it as "non-protein coding lnc-NEBL-3:3". Lineage: Eukaryota; Metazoa; Chordata; Mammalia; Primates; Hominidae. The record is from RNAcentral.